UACGUAGGGUGCGAGCGUUGUCCGGAAUUACUGGGCGUAAAGAGUUCGUAGGCGGUUUGUCGCGUCGUUCGUGAAAACUUGGGGCUUAACUCCAAGCGUGCGGGCGAUACGGGCAGGCUUGAGUUCGGUAGGGGAGACUGGAAUUCCUGGUGUAGCGGUGAAAUGCGCAGAUAUCAGGAGGAACACCGGUGGCGAAGGCGGGUCUCUGGGCCGAUACUGACGCUGAGGAGCGAAAGCGUGGGGAGCGAACAGG
RNAcentral lists this ribosomal RNA (253 nucleotides) under uncultured bacterium. RNAcentral describes it as "partial 16S ribosomal RNA". It matches the Rfam family "Bacterial small subunit ribosomal RNA", at positions 524 to 776 of the family's 1533-position model. The record is from RNAcentral.